Molecule: ribosomal RNA, 499 nt
Filed under: Clistoabdominalis helluo
Lineage: Eukaryota; Metazoa; Arthropoda; Insecta; Diptera; Pipunculidae
Description: partial 16S ribosomal RNA
Source: RNAcentral
CAGACUUAAAAAUCAAGCUACUACACCCAAUAUUAUAUCUUAAUCCAACAUCGAGGUCACAAUCUUUUUUAUCAAUAUGAACUUUCCAAAAAAAUUAUGCUGUUAUCCCUAAAGUAACUUAAUUUAUUAAUCAAUAAUAAAAGAUCAAAUAAUCAUAAAUUAAUGUUUUAAAAAUUAAAAGUUUUUUAAAUUUUAAUAUCUCCCCAAUAAAAUAUAAAUCAACAUUUAAAUAUAAAUAAUCUAUAUUAUAAAAACAUAAAUUUAUAUAAAGAUUUAUAGGGUCUUCUCGUCUAUUAAAUAAAUUUUAGCUUUUUUACUAAAAAAUAAAUUUCUACAAUAAUUUUAAUUGAAACAGUUAAUAUCUCGUCAAACCAUUCAUCCCAGCCUUCAAUUAAAAGACUAAUUAUUAUGCUACCUUUGCACAGUUAAAAUACUGCGGCCAUUCAAUACCUCAUUGGGCAGGUUAGACUUUAAAUUUUAUUCUUAAAGACAUGUUUUU